UAUGGAGAGUUUGAUCCUGGCUCAGAGUGAACGCUGGCGGCGUGCCUAAUACAUGCAAGUCGAACGAUGAAGCUUCUAGCUUGCUAGAAUGCUGAUUAGUGGCGCACGGGUGAGUAACGCAUAGGUCAUGUGCCUCUUAGUUUGGGAUAGCCAUUGGAAACGAUGAUUAAUACCAGAUACUCCCUACGGGGGAAAGAUUUAUCGCUAAGAGAUCAGCCUAUGUCCUAUCAGCUUGUUGGUAAGGUAAUGGCUUACCAAGGCUAUGACGGGUAUCCGGCCUGAGAGGGUGAACGGACACACUGGAACUGAGACACGGUCCAGACUCCUACGGGAGGCAGCAGUAGGGAAUAUUGCUCAAUGGGGGAAACCCUGAAGCAGCAACGCCGCGUGGAGGAUGAAGGUUUUAGGAUUGUAAACUCCUUUUGUUAGAGAAGAUAAUGACGGUAUCUAACGAAUAAGCACCGGCUAACUCCGUGCCAGCAGCCGCGGUAAUACGGAGGGUGCAAGCGUUACUCGGAAUCACUGGGCGUAAAGAGCGCGUAGGCGGGAUAGUCAGUCAGGUGUGAAAUCCUAUGGCUUAACCAUAGAACUGCAUUUGAAACUACUAUUCUAGAGUGUGGGAGAGGUAGGUGGAAUUCUUGGUGUAGGGGUAAAAUCCGUAGAGAUCAAGAGGAAUACUCAUUGCGAAGGCGACCUGCUGGAACAUUACUGACGCUGAUUGCGCGAAAGCGUGGGGAGCAAACAGGAUUAGAUACCCUGGUAGUCCACGCCCUAAACGAUGGAUGCUAGUUGUUGGAGGGCUUAGUCUCUCCAGUAAUGCAGCUAACGCAUUAAGCAUCCCGCCUGGGGAGUACGGUCGCAAGAUUAAAACUCAAAGGAAUAGACGGGGACCCGCACAAGCGGUGGAGCAUGUGGUUUAAUUCGAAGAUACACGAAGAACCUUACCUAGGCUUGACAUUGAGAGAAUCCGCUAGAAAUAGUGGAGUGUCUGGCUUGCCAGACCUUGAAAACAGGUGCUGCACGGCUGUCGUCAGCUCGUGUCGUGAGAUGUUGGGUUAAGUCCCGCAACGAGCGCAACCCCCUUUCUUAGUUGCUAACAGGUUAUGCUGAGAACUCUAAGGAUACUGCCUCCGUAAGGAGGAGGAAGGUGGGGACGACGUCAAGUCAUCAUGGCCCUUACGCCUAGGGCUACACACGUGCUACAAUGGGGUGCACAAAGAGAAGCAAUACUGCGAAGUGGAGCCAAUCUUCAAAACACCUCUCAGUUCGGAUUGUAGGCUGCAACUCGCCUGCAUGAAGCUGGAAUCGCUAGUAAUCGCAAAUCAGCCAUGUUGCGGUGAAUACGUUCCCGGGUCUUGUACUCACCGCCCGUCACACCAUGGGAGUUGUGUUUGCCUUAAGUCAGGAUGCUAAAUUGGCUACUGCCCACGGCACACACAGCGACUGGGGUGAAGUCGUAACAAGGUAACCGUAGGUGAACCUGCGGUUGGAUCACCUCCUU
RNAcentral lists this ribosomal RNA (1501 nucleotides) under Helicobacter pylori. RNAcentral describes it as "bacterial SSU rRNA". It matches the Rfam family "Bacterial small subunit ribosomal RNA". Lineage: Bacteria; Pseudomonadati; Campylobacterota; Epsilonproteobacteria; Campylobacterales; Helicobacteraceae. The record is from RNAcentral.